Molecule: long non-coding RNA, 2009 nt
Filed under: Mus musculus (house mouse)
Lineage: Eukaryota; Metazoa; Chordata; Mammalia; Rodentia; Muridae
Description: long non-coding RNA chrX:81087380-81089389
Source: RNAcentral
UUUUUUUUUUUCUCAUUGAGGCUCAGAAAGAAACAGGUUUCACCUGACCCUAAAAGUUUUUGUUUGUUUGUCUUGAAAUGUUCUAAAAACAGCCAAACAGAUCUUGUCGAUUUUUUUUAAUCAUCUUUCUUCCUGAAACUCUUGACUUCAUGGUGGGCUUGAAAUUAACUUGAGCAGCUGCUAACAGAGCUAAAGGUAGCCAUCAUCACAGUUCAUUUAAACCAUUGCUUCAGUUUCCAAAACUUUCUUAUCCUUUCUAAAAGUCUAGAUUUAGAUCCAGGCAUUAUCUCUAAUAAUACUGUUAAUAGUAAUAAUUAACUGAACACCUGUCUUGUGCCACACUUAAGCAUAUUCUAUUUAUGAUACAACGGCCUUUAUUGUCCAAGAACUAGAUUUAGAAGGGUUAAUUAAGCCCCUCCCAUCCCCAGUUAUCCAAGUACUAUUUUGGAGGGCCAGGGAUUCUUUUUCCAUUAAUUUAUUUAUUCACUUUAAAUUCCUAUCCCAGCGCCCCACUCCCACCCAACUUUCCUCACAUAGCUUCUUACCUUUUUUCACUUCUCCUCUGAGAAGGGUAAAGUACCUCCCACCCCCUCCAGGGUAUCACCACCAUUCUGGCACAUCAAGUCUCUGCAGGGUUAGGCACAUCCUCUCCCACUGAGGCCAGACAAGGCAGCCCAGUUGAGGAACAGAUUCCACAGACAGGCAACAAAUUUUGGGAUAGCCCCACCCCCUUAUGCACUCCAGUUGAAGGUCAUAUGUUAGGGGCAAGGUCCAGCCUGUGUAUAGAGAGCCAGGGUUUUCUAUUCAGGGUAUCUAUAUUACAUGAAAGACGAAGAUUACUGAAUCAUCUUAUAGGUUACCUGUCACAUUAAAAAAAAAAAUCCAAGAAGAAAAAGAAAGAAAGAAAGAAAGGAUAAGAAGAGAAAAGAAGAGAAGAGAAGAGACAGAAAAGAAUCAGCUUUGCAUUUAGUUUUCAAACUAAAUUUUCCCUCUUCUGACUAUCCUAGAAACCCCUUUUUACUUUCUAAAUUCUUUACUGUAGUCUUUCUUUUAUCUCUCCGAUAGAGUCUAUCCUGAAGAUGCAGUUGUUCUAUCUCACAGGGGCAAUACUCCUUUAGGAAGUCAGAAGCUUGAAAUGUCACAAAGAGCACAAACUGUCUUGUACUAAGCGACUGACCUGACCAAAUUAUAGCCGACUUUAUCCUUUUUGGACAGCUGAUAGUGAUAGAUGUGUUGAGAUUCUGAUACCUGCCAUUCAACUUCCCUCACUAAUGACUUAGUGAAAUCAAAAAGAUUGUCUCCUUGGUUCUUCAGUGUCUGCUUCUUUACUCUACUGAUAAUUAGAAUGAGUGUUUUCUUUUGUCCUUCAUGGAUUUUGAAUACAGAUUAAAGAAAAUAUUUAAUGCUUUGUAAUUUAAAUUUUGAAUGAUAUUGCACUAAUUCAUUAUAUUACUAAAGAUGCUUCCUUUUUUGUCAUAUCUGGAAGAAGCCUCCUGUAAGUGAUUAUAUGGAGUGAUGGCUCUUUCCCUUAUGAUCUAGCAGCUAAUUUUUAUUUCUGAGUUUUCUCUGGUCCAUGAUUAGAAGCUUGUGUUUGCUACCUCUUGUCAUCAUCUUAAAAGAUAUUGUGAAAAUGGGCAGUCAUUUUAAAUCUCUGUUUGACUAAAAUUUAGUCCAGUUUAGAUUAUAAACUAAAAGGAUGUUCUACUCACAGGUGUUUAGAUACUAUGUUACUUUCCAUGUGUCAGUAUGCUACUAUACUUCGGUUAGAGUGUUUUACACUAAUUUAUUUUAUACUUGUACUACUUUCUGAGUUAUAAAUUUAAUUAAUCAAUAGCCCAACAUUCCCUUUGUAGGAGAAAUGUUUUUAUUAUCCAAAUUACAAUUUCCUUUACAUGCUAUAUUUAGGAACCUAGCUGGAAGGCCUUCUGCCUUUUAGUUAUCUCCAGUCUUCCCCUUGUUUGUUUACAGCAUGAGAAUUGCCUUAGUUGAGGCCACAGUUUCUCUUUUUG